RNAcentral lists this ribosomal RNA (876 nucleotides) under Triticum aestivum (bread wheat). RNAcentral's name for it is "partial small subunit ribosomal RNA". The record is from RNAcentral. Lineage: Eukaryota; Viridiplantae; Streptophyta; Magnoliopsida; Poales; Poaceae.
AUGUUUAGUUCGCCCCGGGCCCCCGAAAUCUCAGUACCGACCCUGUGCUCCAGGAGCUCGCGCGGCCGUGCUGAAGGUGGAGACGGCCAACAGGUUGACGGCGGCGACCAAGACGACGAGGAGGAGGAUAGGAGCACCCUCGCCGGCGUGCUCCGUCCGAAGGACACGGUGGUGGAGCGCGCACUCGGGGACGCGCCCUACACGGAGCUCACUCGCCUCGCCGCGGACUACCUCCGCAGCACACACAACGCGUCGCUGCACUGCCUCUUACUCCGUCGGGCGCCGCGCCGCGCACGGGCGCUCUAUGGGCCCAUCACGGAUGUUCUCGCGCUGAUCCCUCUCGCCAUGCCUCUCGCCGUGCCGCACUGCGACUGUGCGUUUGAUGCCUUCCUCCAGUUCGACAAAAUACCCAACCCGUUCCUGCCCCCCGAAGCGAGCUUCCUGGGCAUGCAUCGGAGCUUUGCUGGCCUCAAAACCCAUCUCGACCUCCGCCUCCUCAAGGCCCGACGGAUUGCGGUGCCGUCACGUGGUUCCUGCUGCUCAACCCCCGCUUGGAUGAAACGCCUGCAGCAACACAUGGACCGGCUUGACGGCGCGGCCAGGGGCGCCUAUGUGCUCAACAAUGACGUGGACACCAUUGAACGGUUGGUGGGCUGGCUCCACGCCACUAUCGAGGGUGACAAGAUCUUGGUAAGGCUAGGGCUUGAGCGCGGGAGGGGGCAGCACCACACCAUCGAAGAGGUGGUGCGGCAGCUCCGGAAGAACCAUCCUAGCCUGCUAUGCCAGCUCGCUGACCUUGAGGAGCACAUCUGUCUCUACUUUGCAGUCGUUAACCGUGCAAGGCUGUUCAUUGUACACCACCUCAAUGCCCACUAG